Molecule: ribosomal RNA, 497 nt
Filed under: uncultured bacterium
Lineage: Bacteria
Description: partial 16S ribosomal RNA
Rfam family: Bacterial small subunit ribosomal RNA
Source: RNAcentral
GAUGAACGCUGGCGGCGUGCCUAAUACAUGCAAGUCGAGCGAACAGACGAGGAGCUUGCUCCUCUGACGUUAGCGGCGGACGGGUGAGUAACACGUGGAUAACCUACCUAUAAGACUGGGAUAACUUCGGGAAACCGGAGCUAAUACCGGAUAAUAUAUUGAACCGCAUGGUUCAAUAGUGAAAGACGGUUUUGCUGUCACUUAUAGAUGGAUCCGCGCCGCAUUAGCUAGUUGGUAAGGUAACGGCUUACCAAGGCAACGAUGCGUAGCCGACCUGAGAGAGGGGUCGGCCACACUAGAACUGAGACACGAUCCAGACUCCUACGGGAGGCAGCAGUAGGGAACCUUCCGCAAUGGGCGAAAGCCUGACGGAGCAAGGCCGCGUGAGUGAUGAAGGUCUUCGGAUCGUAAAACUCUGUUAUUAGGGAAGAACAAAUGUGUAAGUAACUAUGCACGUCUUGACGGUACCUAAUCAGAAAGCCACGGCUAACUACGUG